GGAUUAGUGGCGCACGGGUGAGUAAUAUAUAGAUAACGUGCCUCUUAGUCUGGGAUAGCCAUUGGAAACGAUGAUUAAUACUAGAUACUCCUUCUUAUUCUAAUGUAAGUCGGGAAAGUUUUUCGCUAAGAGAUCGGUCUAUAUCCCAUCAGUUAGUUGGUAAGGUAACGGCUUACCAAGGCAAUGACGGGUAGCGGGUUUGAGAGGAUGAUCCGCCACACUGGUACUGAGACACGGACCAGACUCCUACGGGAGGCAGCAGUGAGGAAUAUUGCACAAUGGGGGAAACCCUGAUGCAGCAACGCCGCGUGGAGGAUGACGCACUCGGUGUGUAAACUCCUUUUAUAUGUCAAGAAAAUGACGGUAGCAUAUGAAUAAGCACCGGCUAACUCCGUGCCAGCAGCCGCGGUAAUACGGAGGGUGCAAGCGUUAUUCGGAAUCACUGGGCGUAAAGGACGCGUAGGCGGGAUGCCAAGUCUGAUGUGAAAUCCUAUGGCUUAACCAUAGAACUGCAUUGGAAACUGGUAACCUAGAGUAUGGGAGGGGGAGAUGGAAUUAGUGGUGUAGGGGUAAAAUCCGUAGAUAUCACUAGGAAUACCGAAAGCGAAGGCGAUCUCCUGGAACAAUACUGACGCUAAGGCGUGAAAGCGUGGGGAGCAAACGGGAUUAGAUACCCCGGUAGUCCACGCCCUAAACGAUGUUCACUAGUCGUCGGAAUGCUAGUCAUUUCGGUGAUGCACUUAACAGAUUAAGUGAACCGCCUGGGGGAGUACGGUCGCAAGAUUAAAACUCAAAGGAAUA
This 801-nucleotide ribosomal RNA is filed under the name uncultured bacterium. Its description in RNAcentral is "bacterial SSU rRNA". It matches the Rfam family "Bacterial small subunit ribosomal RNA", at positions 89 to 911 of the family's 1533-position model. The record is from RNAcentral.